RNAcentral lists this ribosomal RNA (253 nucleotides) under uncultured bacterium. RNAcentral describes it as "partial 16S ribosomal RNA". It matches the Rfam family "Bacterial small subunit ribosomal RNA", at positions 524 to 776 of the family's 1533-position model. The record is from RNAcentral.
UACGGAGGGUGCGAGCGUUGUCCGGAAUCAUUGGGCGUAAAGGGCGCGUAGGUGGCCCGGUCAGUCGAUGGUGAAAGCGCGGGGCUCAACUCCGCGUCGGCCGUCGAUACUGCUGGGCUUGAGCACUGUAGAGGCAGGCGGAAUUCCUGGUGUAGCGGUGAAAUGCGCAGAUAUCAGGAGGAACACCGGUGGCGAAGGCGGGUCUCUGGGCCGAUACUGACGCUGAGGAGCGAAAGCGUGGGGAGCAAACAGG